AUGGUUAAUGAUUCACCCACAGCCCUCAGGGAGCUCCUUUCAGCAGGGGCAACAGAUGCACUUACACAUUCUCUCUCUCUUUCUGUCUCUCUUUCUCUCUUUCAUCUUCAACUCUUCUUUACCCAGCAAGAGGCGGGUGUCCAACAAAUUGCUUGGCAACGCGCGGAGGAAACUCCAUCCAAAGCCCGGGUCUGCCGGGUCCAGCCGCCUCUGGGCGCUGUCCAGCGGGCAGAGCGCCUGAGAGGCCAGGCAGGGGUCCUGUCUCCGGACACCCCGAAGGUGGUCCAGCCAGACUCAGCAAAAGAAGGAAGCAACUUGUGCGAGGUCCUAAUCGCAUUAAAUUAAGGAGAAGCGAGAAAGAUGACAAAUACAGAAUUGUGGCUCAUAGUGGAACUGACAUCCUUCCCCACAGAGGAUGAAGGGACUUGCAGAGGACUUGAGGAGGUGGUGCCUUGAGACCCCUGGAGGAAAACACACCAAGGAUAACAAACAAUUCCAUUUAACUUGAUAGAGUUCCAGCUCUCAUGGCUGCAACAGUCAG
Molecule: long non-coding RNA, 541 nt
Filed under: Canis lupus familiaris (dog)
Lineage: Eukaryota; Metazoa; Chordata; Mammalia; Carnivora; Canidae
Description: lncRNA (ENSCAFG00030003635.1)
Source: RNAcentral